Molecule: transfer RNA, 72 nt
Filed under: Saprospiraceae bacterium
Lineage: Bacteria; Pseudomonadati; Bacteroidota; Saprospiria; Saprospirales; Saprospiraceae
Description: tRNA-Glu
Rfam family: tRNA
About the family: Transfer RNA (tRNA) molecules are approximately 80 nucleotides in length. Their secondary structure includes four short double-helical elements and three loops (D, anti-codon, and T loops). Further hydrogen bonds mediate the characteristic L-shaped molecular structure. tRNAs have two regions of fundamental functional importance: the anti-codon, which is responsible for specific mRNA codon recognition, and the 3' end, to which the tRNAs corresponding amino acid is attached (by aminoacyl-tRNA synthetases). tRNAs cope with the degeneracy of the genetic code in two manners: having more than one tRNA (with a specific anti-codon) for a particular amino acid; and 'wobble' base-pairing, i.e. permitting non-standard base-pairing at the 3rd anti-codon position.
Source: RNAcentral
GCCCCUGAAUACAAAUGGCUGAGUGGCCGGUUUUUCAAGCCGGAACAGCGGGUUCGAUUCCCGCCGGGGGUA